AAAUUCACUUUGAAUUCUCUCUGUUGUGAAGAAUUGACAAAAAACUGUUUAGAUAUUUACUUAUUUACUGAGAUGGGGGGGAGUUUAAUUAAAAUGUUGCUAUUUUAGUCUGUUGCUGUUUAGUAAUCCCCCCCCCCUCUUCUUGGGGAAACAGCAGACGUUUUUGAAAGGGGACUAGUUUAUUUACAUUUUUGUAGUAGGGGCGAUAUCU
Pelobates cultripes (western spadefoot toad) is the source of this 211-nucleotide non-coding RNA. The record is from the annotation of a GenBank genome assembly. NCBI's taxonomy places the organism in Eukaryota, Metazoa, Chordata, Amphibia, Anura, Pelobatidae.